GCCAUGCGUGAUUCGGGCAGGGUUCGAACCUGCAGCAGGUCGAGUCGAGCGACAGCGAGACAACGUUGCCAGCGGCAACGGCCCGCAGGGCGAGGCGCAGCCGAGUCAUCCUGCACGACCCACCA
RNAcentral lists this small RNA (125 nucleotides) under Erwinia pyrifoliae. Its description in RNAcentral is "RtT sRNA". It matches the Rfam family "RtT RNA". From Rfam's summary of the family: This family represents a bacterial cis-regulatory element known as RtT RNA. The exact function of RtT is unknown although it is thought that it may be involved in changing the cellular response in relation to amino acid starvation. Lineage: Bacteria; Pseudomonadati; Pseudomonadota; Gammaproteobacteria; Enterobacterales; Erwiniaceae. The record is from RNAcentral.